CCCUUAGAUGUCCUGGGCCGCACGCGCGUUACACUGAUGCAUUCAACGAGCCUAUAACCUUGGCCGAGAGGCCUGGGCAAUCUUGUUAACGUGCAUCGUGAUAGGGAUAGAUUAUUGAAAUUAUUAAUCUUGAACGAGGAAUUCCUAGUAAACGCAGAUCAUCAAUCUGCAUUGAUUACGUCCCUGCCCUUUGUACACACCGCCCGUCGCACCUACCGAUUGGAUGGUCCGGUGAAGCCUCGGGAUUGUGGUUCUUGCCGCUUUAUUGUGGCGUGACCGCGAGAACUUGUCUAAACCUUAUCAUCUAGAGGAAGGAGAAGUCGUAACA
This 328-nucleotide ribosomal RNA is filed under the name uncultured eukaryote. RNAcentral describes it as "partial 18S ribosomal RNA". It matches the Rfam family "Eukaryotic small subunit ribosomal RNA", at positions 1470 to 1796 of the family's 1831-position model. The record is from RNAcentral.